GAUGAACGCUGGCGGCGUGCCUAAUACAUGCAAGUCGAGCGAACAGACGAGGAGCUUGCUCCUCUGACGUUAGCGGCGGACGGGUGAGUAACACGUGGAUAACCUACCUAUAAGACUGGGAUAACUUCGGGAAACCGGAGCUAAUACCGGAUAACAUGUUGAACCGCAUGGUUCAACAGUGAAAGACGGUCUUGCUGUCACUUAUAGAUGGAUCCGCGCCGCAUUAGCUAGUUGGUAAGGUAACGGCUUACCAAGGCAACGAUGCGUAGCCGACCUGAGAGGGUGAUCGGCCACACUGGAACUGAGACACGGUCCAGACUCCUACGGGAGGCAGCAGUAGGGAAUCUUCCGCAAUGGGCGAAAGCCUGACGGAGCAACGCCGCGUGAGUGAAGAAGGUCUUCGGAUCUUAAAACUCUGUUAUUAGGGAAGAACAAAUGUGUAAGUAACUAUGCACGUCUUGACGGUACCUAAUCAGAAAGCCACGGCUAACUACGUG
RNAcentral lists this ribosomal RNA (497 nucleotides) under uncultured bacterium. RNAcentral's name for it is "partial 16S ribosomal RNA". It matches the Rfam family "Bacterial small subunit ribosomal RNA", at positions 28 to 507 of the family's 1533-position model. The record is from RNAcentral.